Molecule: ribosomal RNA, 253 nt
Filed under: uncultured bacterium
Lineage: Bacteria
Description: partial 16S ribosomal RNA
Rfam family: Bacterial small subunit ribosomal RNA
Source: RNAcentral
UACGUAGGGUGCAAGCGUUAAUCGGAAUUACUGGGCGUAAAGCGUGCGCAGGCGGUUGUGCAAGACAGGUGUGAAAUCCCCGGGCUUAACCUGGGAACUGCACUUGUGACUGCACAGCUGGAGUACGGCAGAGGGGGAUGGAAUUCCGCGUGUAGCAGUGAAAUGCGUAGAUAUGCGGAGGAACACCGAUGGCGAAGGCAGUCCCCUGGGCCUGUACUGACGCUGAGACGCGAAAGCGUGGGGAGCGAACAGG